UGGGGAAUUUUGGACAAUGGGCGCAAGCCUGAUCCAGCCAUGCCGCGUGCGGGAAGAAGGCCUUCGGGUUGUAAACCGCUUUUGUCAGGGAAGAAAUCUUCUGAGUUAAUACCUCGGGAGGAUGACGGUACCUGAAGAAUAAGCACCGGCUAACUACGUGCCAGCAGCCGCGGUAAUACGUAGGGUGCAAGCGUUAAUCGGAAUUACUGGGCGUAAAGCGUGCGCAGGCGGUUUUGUAAGACAGAGGUGAAAUCCCCGGGCUCAACCUGGGAACUGCCUUUGUGACUGCAAGGCUUGAGUGCGGCAGAGGGGGAUGGAAUUCCGCGUGUAGCAGUGAAAUGCGUAGAUAUGCGGAGGAACACCGAUGGCGAAGGCAAUCCCCUGGGCCUGCACUGACGCUCAUGCACGAAAGCGUGGGGAGCAAAACAGGAUUAGAUACCCUGGUAGUCCACGCCCUAAACGAUGUCAACUGGUUGUUGGGAAGGUUCCUUCUCAGUAACGUAGCUAACGCGUGAAGUUGACCGCCUGGGGAGUACGGCCGCAAGGUUGAAACUUAAAGGAAUUGACGGGGUCAUAGC
RNAcentral lists this ribosomal RNA (578 nucleotides) under uncultured bacterium. Its description in RNAcentral is "partial 16S ribosomal RNA". It matches the Rfam family "Bacterial small subunit ribosomal RNA", at positions 355 to 925 of the family's 1533-position model. The record is from RNAcentral.